Molecule: small nuclear RNA, 107 nt
Filed under: Carlito syrichta (Philippine tarsier)
Lineage: Eukaryota; Metazoa; Chordata; Mammalia; Primates; Tarsiidae
Source: RNAcentral
GUGCUUGCUUUGACAGCACAUAUACUAAAAUUGGAAUGAUACAGAGAAGAUUAGCAUGUCCCCUGCACAAGGAUGACAUGCAAAUUCAUGAAGUGUUCCAUAUAGUA